GGGGCAUGGAGGCUGCUGUCGCUGCAGCAGCUCAGCUUGCCCGGGGCGGGAACUCCCCCUUUCUCCUUUCGCCUCCCCAGCACCCACACCCUGUCUCCCCCUUAAUUCUUCCCUGGAUAAUAGCACCCUAACGACAACAGUCAUAAUAAUAGGGUUAGAACGACAGGGGAGGAAAACUCAACAGCCUAAAUAUCUCUGAAAACUGCAUCGCAAAAUGGAAGAAAGAGGGGGUCCCACUACUGUUUCAAAAGAGUAAGUUAUUAUUCGGAGCCAUGGAAGUCAAAUGCUGAGGAUGGUGGCAUCAUAGGAUGAAUGGAGCUGGGUUCUUGAAACACUGCCUGGAGGAAAGACAGCAAAAAUGCCUCAUGAAUCCAACUGGACUGUUAGGAUGCUCACCCUUGGAGACCAGCAACAAUGUGUGCAGAAACCCAGGCCAUGUGGAGAGGCCCCACAUACGUGUCCAACUGAGGUCCCAGCUGACAGCUGGCAUUGACAUAAUGUUCACUCUGGGGGAAGCCAGCUGCCACGCUGUAAGGACACUCGGGCAGUCCUAUGAAGAGGCCCGUGUGGUGAGAAAGAGAGGCCUCCAGCCAACAGCCAUGUGAGUGGGCCAUUGAGGAAGCAGCCUCAGUGCCUGCAGCCCUGACUGGCAUCCUGAACUACCACCUUAAAUGAGACCCUGAGCCAGAGUCACUACUUCCAAAUUCUUGACCCACAGAAAUUGUGAAAUAAUAUUUGUUGUUUUAAGCCGCCAAGUUUUGGGAGUAAUUUGUUAUAUAGCAAAAGAUAAUUAAUACAUUCACUUCCUAAGAUUAUGGUGAAGAAUUAAGGAUACAGCAUGAAAAGAACUUUGCUAUUAUUUUUAUUAUCUGAUCCAAUUUAUGUUGAAGGGCCUUCAGUACUUUCUUCUUUUACUCUAUCUUGACAUUUGUCUGAAACAUUUUUGUUUGUUUGUUUGUUUGUUUGUUUGUUUUUUAGAGAUGGGGUCUUGCUAUGUUUCCCAGUUGGAGUGCAGUGAUUAUUCACAGACAUGAUCCCACUACUGAUCAGCAUGGGAGUUUUCACCUGCUCCAUUUCCCACCUGGGAGGUCAUCAUAUUGAUGGCGAGCUAAGUGUGGACACCUGAUCAGCAUAGCACAGUACAGCCCAGAACCCCUGGGCUCCAGUGAUCCUCUUACUUCAGCCUCUUGAGUAGCUGGAACUACAGGCCUGCACCACUGCACCCGGCUAGUUUGUUUUUGUUAGAGUUUUGUCUCUAGGAUUUUCCUCAGCUGAGUAUGUGAAGGCUAACUUCUCCUUGUGAAUCUGCAAAUAUCCUUAUUUUACCCUUUAUUUUACCAUGUAUCAUUUACAGGUAAAUGAUAUCUUAGCUGUGUAUUGAAUUUCUGUUUUUUGUUUUUUCUUCAGUACUCUAUAAAUAUUACUCCAGUAUCUUCUAGCUUCUCCCAUUUUCUCCUAGUGAAUGGUUAUUCUGCUCUUAUCUAGCAGGUGAUAAAUCUGUCAACAGAUAGUUUUUCCUUUUUGUUUUAUGUGUAAGUUGUUAUUUCUUCCUUAAAGUUCAUAAUCUUUUCCCAUUUAUUCUCUAAAUUUUAGACUAUAACCAGGAUGUGUUUAGGUUGAUAUCUUUGCUUAUCUAUUCUGCCUGGAAAUCAGGAACCUCUUCCAAUAUUCAGACUUGUGUUUUCAGCUCAGAAUAAUUAUUUUAUCAUUUGUUUGAUUAUUCCUUUAGUUGCACUGGAUCUUAGUUAAAAUGCCCAUUCUGAUUCAAAGUAUCUGGAAGGCAAGUAUUUGUCAACUAAGGGAAAGGUGACCAUGCAUCAUUGGUUUUGCUGAGACUACCUGGUUUACACCUUCAGGCUUUAUACUUAGAAAAUAUUGCGAUCAUCUUCUGGUCAUGAAGUUACAAACUUCAGGACAAAGGCUAACCAGCUAAGACUAGCAGAGCAAAUUCCAAGAACUUGGGGCUUUAAUUAACUUGAAUUGAUUUGGACUUGCCCUACCUUUAACUUCACACUGAGAUAAAAAUUCCCCACAUUUUCAAGCCAUUUUUGAGAUGAGUCUCUUAUGGUUGAAAGCAUCCUAAUUUAUACAACAUCCUUUUGGUACCUAACUAAAUAUUCACCAAUAUUUGGCACAUUUGUUAAAUCUUUUGGUGUGUGCCUCUUCUAUGUAAUGUAAAUAUGGUCUGAAUAUCCAUUCAGAAAUUAUAGUUGAUUUGCAAAAAUAACUACUAUAUCACCUAUAUUAAUUGAUAGUUAUUCCUUCCCAACCUUCUUUCACUCUUCCAUAUAUAUACAGAGUAAAUCUACAUCAUUAUGUUGAUUAAACAAAAUAGCAGUGAAAUCAGGAUGUUACUGCUCAUUGUGCAUUUAUUUCAAUUAUGGAAAAAGCCAACACUUUACUCCCUUAUUUAACACUUCUGUAGAAAAGCAGUUGAAA
Long non-coding RNA from Homo sapiens (human), 2439 nucleotides. Ensembl annotates it as SNAP25 antisense RNA 1. Its record names the gene SNAP25-AS1. NCBI's taxonomy places the organism in Eukaryota, Metazoa, Chordata, Mammalia, Primates, Hominidae. The record is from Ensembl.